This 254-nucleotide ribosomal RNA is filed under the name uncultured bacterium. Its description in RNAcentral is "partial 16S ribosomal RNA". It matches the Rfam family "Bacterial small subunit ribosomal RNA", at positions 524 to 776 of the family's 1533-position model. The record is from RNAcentral.
GACGUAGGGGGCGAGCGUUGUCCGGAAUUAUUGGGCGUAAAGAGCUCGUAGGCGGUUCCGUAAGUCAGAUGUGAAAACUCAAGGCUUAACCUUGAGACGCCAUCUGAUACUGCGGUGACUAGAAUCCAGUAGGGGAGUGUGGAAUUCCUGGUGUAGCGGUGAAAUGCACAGAUAUCAGGAGGAACACCUAUGGCGAAGGCAGCACUCUGGGCUGGUAUUGACGCUGAGGAGCGAAAGCAUGGGUAGCAAACAGG